RNAcentral lists this transfer RNA (67 nucleotides) under Marmota monax (woodchuck). RNAcentral's name for it is "tRNA.Ala". The record is from RNAcentral. Lineage: Eukaryota; Metazoa; Chordata; Mammalia; Rodentia; Sciuridae.
GGUUGUCGCUCAGUGGUAGAGCGCUUGCCUAGCACGUGUGAGGCACUGGGUUUGAUUCUCAGCACCA